UACGUAGGGUGCGAGCGUUAAUCGGAAUUACUGGGCGUAAAGCGUGCGCAGGCGGUGAGCUGUGUCCGAUGUGAAAGCCCCGGGCUUAACCUGGGAAUGGCAUUGGAAACUGGCUCGCUGGAGUGUGGCAGAGGGGGGUGGAAUUCCGGCGUGUAGCAGUGAAAUGCGUAGAGAUGUGGAGGAACACCGAUGGCGAAGGCAGCCCCCUGGGCUAACACUGACGCUCAUGCACGAAAGCGUGGGGAGCAAACAGG
Molecule: ribosomal RNA, 254 nt
Filed under: uncultured bacterium
Lineage: Bacteria
Description: partial 16S ribosomal RNA
Rfam family: Bacterial small subunit ribosomal RNA
Source: RNAcentral